GUCUACGGCCAUGCCACCCUGAAUGUACUCAAUCUCGUCUGAUCUCAGAAGCUAAGCAGGGUCGGACCUGGUUAAUACUUGGAUGGGAGACCACCUAGGAAUACCAGGUGCUACAGACA
RNAcentral lists this ribosomal RNA (119 nucleotides) under Pteropus alecto (black flying fox). The record is from RNAcentral. Lineage: Eukaryota; Metazoa; Chordata; Mammalia; Chiroptera; Pteropodidae.